ACUCCUACGGGAGGCAGCAGUGAGGAAUAUUGGUCAAUGGAGGAACUCUGAACCAGCCAUCCCGCGUGUAGGAAGACGGCCUUAUGGGUUGUAAACUACUUUUAUACAGGAAGAAACGUACCCUCGUGAGGGUGCCUGACGGUACUGUAGGAAUAAGCACCGGCUAACUCCGUGCCAGCAGCCGCGGUAAUACGGAGGGGUGCGAGCGUUAUCCGGAUUUAUUGGGGUUUAAAGGGUCCGUAGGCGGAUUAAUAAGUCAGUGGUGAAAUCCCAUCGCUUAACGAUGGAACUGCCAUUGAUACUGUUAGUCUUGAAUGAGGGUGCAGUGGUUGGAAUGUGUAGUGUAGCGGUGAAAUGCAUAGAUAUUACACAGAACACCGAUUGCGAAGGCAGAUCACUAACCCUAAAUUGACGCUGAGGGACGAAAGCGUGGGGAGCGAACAGGAUUAGAUACCCUGGUAGCACAGAG
Molecule: ribosomal RNA, 469 nt
Filed under: uncultured bacterium
Lineage: Bacteria
Description: bacterial SSU rRNA
Rfam family: Bacterial small subunit ribosomal RNA
Source: RNAcentral